This 265-nucleotide signal recognition particle RNA is filed under the name Evtepia sp. Its description in RNAcentral is "signal recognition particle sRNA large type". It matches the Rfam family "Bacterial large signal recognition particle RNA". Rfam says of the family: The signal recognition particle (SRP) is a universally conserved ribonucleoprotein involved in the co-translational targeting of proteins to membranes. Archaeal SRP consists of a 7S RNA and homologues of the eukaryotic SRP19 and SRP54 proteins. RNAcentral also lists the same sequence under 1 other name. The record is from RNAcentral. Lineage: Bacteria; Bacillati; Bacillota; Clostridia; Eubacteriales.
CCGCACUAGUCGGGGAGAUAGCGGUGCCCUGUACCUGCAAUCCGCUACAGCAGGGAUGAAUCCCGGUCCCCGGAGGCCCCUUGUUCCGUUAGUUGCCGGUAAGCGGUGAUGAGGAAUCGGUCCUGCGCAACGCAGCACUGUGAACCGUGUCAGGCGGGGAACCGAGCAGCACUAAGCAGAACGCCGCGUGUGCCGCGGGUUUGCCGGUUUUGAGCUGGCUGCCAGUGAGACAGGGAUGAGGGGGUCUUCAAAGGCCGGUGUGCGG